RNAcentral lists this non-coding RNA (615 nucleotides) under Macrophomina phaseolina MS6. Its description in RNAcentral is "Bacterial small subunit ribosomal RNA". It matches the Rfam family "Bacterial small subunit ribosomal RNA", at positions 886 to 1520 of the family's 1533-position model. Lineage: Eukaryota; Fungi; Ascomycota; Dothideomycetes; Botryosphaeriales; Botryosphaeriaceae. The record is from Rfam by way of RNAcentral.
UCGCACGUACGGUUCUUGGAGGGGGAAAGCCUGAGAGGGCCUACCUAUCUCGACUAUUUAAUUCGAUGAUCCUCGAAAAACCUUACCACAAUUUGAAUGUUAAUUAAUAAAUUAACACAGGCGUUGCAUGGCUGUCUUCAGUUAAUGUCGUGAGAUUUGGUUAGAUCCAAAAAAUUAUCGUAAACCCUUGUUCUUUAUUUGUUUGAAUAAUGCAGUUAACCGCUAUAUUGGAUUAUAUAACAGGGACUAAGACAAGUCAUCAUGGCCUUAACAUUGUGGGCUAUAGACGUGCCACAUAUGCCUUUACAAAGGGAUGCAAAAGUGUGAACUUGAGCUAACCCCUAAAACAGGAUAAAAUAUUAAUUGUAGUCUGAAACUCGACUACAUGAAAAAGGAAUUACUAGUAAUCGUGUGUAAUCACAGCACGGUGAAUUUAAUCUCAGCUAGGUACUAACCACUCGUCAGGCGCUGAAAGGGGUAUGUGCAAUAAGUUUGGUUAUUGUUAAUUUUUAAUAUAGGUAAUUGGACUUAUAUUUAUUAACGAAUAAUCUUCGUAUGCGUGACCCUGAUUGGUGUUAAGUCGAAAUACGGUUCGAGUAGGGGAACUUGCUCGGG